This 86-nucleotide transfer RNA is filed under the name Chloracidobacterium sp. RNAcentral describes it as "tRNA-Ser". It matches the Rfam family "tRNA". From Rfam's summary of the family: Transfer RNA (tRNA) molecules are approximately 80 nucleotides in length. Their secondary structure includes four short double-helical elements and three loops (D, anti-codon, and T loops). Lineage: Bacteria; Pseudomonadati; Acidobacteriota; Blastocatellia; Chloracidobacteriales; Chloracidobacteriaceae. The record is from RNAcentral.
GCCGGGGUGGCGGAAUUGGUAUACGCAGCGGUCUUGAAAACCGUGGCCUGUCGCAAGGAUUGCGGGUUCGAACCCCGCUCCCGGUA